RNAcentral lists this ribosomal RNA (465 nucleotides) under Vreelandella stevensii. Its description in RNAcentral is "partial 16S ribosomal RNA". It matches the Rfam family "Bacterial small subunit ribosomal RNA", at positions 338 to 795 of the family's 1533-position model. Lineage: Bacteria; Pseudomonadati; Pseudomonadota; Gammaproteobacteria; Oceanospirillales; Halomonadaceae. The record is from RNAcentral.
CCUAACGGGUGGCAGCAGUGGGGAAUAUUGGACAAUGGGCGAAAGCCUGAUCCAGCCAUGCCGCGUGUGUGAAGAAGGCCUUCGGGUUGUAAAGCACUUUCAGUGGGGAAGAAAGCCUUGGGGCUAAUACCCUCGAGGAAGGACAUCACCCACAGAAGAAGCACCGGCUAACUCCGUGCCAGCAGCCGCGGUAAUACGGAGGGUGCGAGCGUUAAUCGGAAUUACUGGGCGUAAAGCGCGCGUAGGCGGUCUGAUAAGCCGGUUGUGAAAGCCCCGGGCUCAACCUGGGAACGGCAUCCGGAACUGUCAGGCUAGAGUGCAGGAGAGGAAGGUAGAAUUCCCGGUGUAGCGGUGAAAUGCGUAGAGAUCGGGAGGAAUACCAGUGGCGAAGGCGGCCUUCUGGACUGACACUGACGCUGAGGUGCGAAAGCGUGGGUAGCAAACAGGAUUAGAUACCCGGUAGUC